Molecule: ribosomal RNA, 492 nt
Filed under: uncultured bacterium
Lineage: Bacteria
Description: partial 16S ribosomal RNA
Rfam family: Bacterial small subunit ribosomal RNA
Source: RNAcentral
AGUGAACGCUGGCGGUAGGCCUAACACAUGCAAGUCGAACGGCAGCACAGUAAGAGCUUGCUCUUACGGGUGGCGAGUGGCGGACGGGUGAGGAAUACAUCGGAAUCUACUUUUUCGUGGGGGAUAACGUAGGGAAACUUACGCUAAUACCGCAUACGACCUACGGGUGAAAGCAGGGGAUCUUCGGACCUUGCGCGAUUGAAUGAGCCGAUGUCGGAUUAGCUAGUUGGCGGGGUAAAGGCCCACCAAGGCGACGAUCCGAAGCUGGUCUGAGAGGAUGAUCAGCCACACUGGAACUGAGACACGGUCCAGACUCCUACGGGAGGCAGCAGUGGGGAAUAUUGGACAAUGGGCGCAAGCCUGAUCCAGCCAUACCGCGUGGGUGAAGAAGACCUUCGGGUUGUAAAGCCCUUUUGUUGGGAAAGAAAAGCAGCAGGUUAAUACCCCGCUGUUCUGACGGUACCCAAAGAAUAAGCACCGGCUAACUUCGUG